RNAcentral lists this transfer RNA (69 nucleotides) under Esomus metallicus (striped flying barb). RNAcentral describes it as "tRNA-Phe". It matches the Rfam family "tRNA". From Rfam's summary of the family: Transfer RNA (tRNA) molecules are approximately 80 nucleotides in length. Their secondary structure includes four short double-helical elements and three loops (D, anti-codon, and T loops). The record is from RNAcentral. Lineage: Eukaryota; Metazoa; Chordata; Actinopteri; Cypriniformes; Danionidae.
GCUAGUGUAGCUUAAUACAAAGCAUAGCGCUGAAGACGCUAAGAUAAGUCCUAAAAAACUUCACUGGCA